ACUAGUGUGGCAGAAUAACAUGCAAUGAAUUUAAGAUUCAUAAAUAAAUAAAAAUAUUUCAUUAGAA
This 67-nucleotide transfer RNA is filed under the name Smerdalea horrescens. RNAcentral describes it as "tRNA-Leu". The record is from RNAcentral. Lineage: Eukaryota; Metazoa; Arthropoda; Insecta; Hemiptera; Membracidae.